UACGUAGGGCGCAAGCGUUGUCCGGAAUUAUUCGGCGUAAAGAGCUCGUAGGCGGCUUGUCACGUCGGGUGUGAAAGCCCGGGGCUUAACCCCGGGUCUGCAUUCGAUACGGGCAGGCUAGAGUGUGGUAGGGGAGAUCGGAAUUCCUGGUGUAGCGGUGAAAUGCGCAGAUAUCAGGAGGAACACCAAUAGCGAAGGCAGCUCGCUGGGACGUUACUGACACUGAGGCGCGAAAGCGUGGGGAGCGAACAGG
RNAcentral lists this ribosomal RNA (253 nucleotides) under uncultured bacterium. RNAcentral's name for it is "partial 16S ribosomal RNA". It matches the Rfam family "Bacterial small subunit ribosomal RNA", at positions 524 to 776 of the family's 1533-position model. The record is from RNAcentral.